Molecule: long non-coding RNA, 512 nt
Organism: Mastomys coucha (southern multimammate mouse)
Lineage: Eukaryota; Metazoa; Chordata; Mammalia; Rodentia; Muridae
Exons: 2
Source: RefSeq, a predicted model, not a curated record
CGCGAGGGGGCGCCUGGGGCGGGGCUUAUGGGCGGGACGCGCAUGCGUCUGGGCGUGGGCUCCUCGCGCCACUAGGCAAGGCGACUUCUCUUGCGCCUGCGCAAGCCGGAAGUGUCCGGAAGGAGUAGGGAGGGAAUGGCUUUGACGACGUGAAGUUCAGUGGGUGUUUUCCGUUAGAGUUGUCCUGUCUAAUGACCAACAGAUCCUGUCUGGCUUAACAAUGAAAUUCUGCAGGUUCCUCCUUUUGCGUGUACCACGAGCUCAGUGGUAGAGCACUUCCCAACAUUCUUGGUUUCAGUCCUCAAUACUGAAAAUAAAAAGCAACAGCAACAAAAUGUGCCCCCUCAGGGUCAGAUGUGGCGGCACAGCCCUUAAUCCAGCAUUUGGGAGGCAGAGGCAUGUGGAUAUGUGAGUUCAAGGCUAAUCGGGUUUACAUACUGGAUACUGGGAAAGCCAGGGUGACAUGAGGACAUACUGUCAAAAAAAUACUUUUUAAAAAUGUCUUCUCUUGA